Molecule: ribosomal RNA, 776 nt
Filed under: uncultured Neocallimastigales
Lineage: Eukaryota; Fungi; Neocallimastigomycota; Neocallimastigomycetes; Neocallimastigales
Description: partial large subunit ribosomal RNA
Rfam family: Eukaryotic large subunit ribosomal RNA
Source: RNAcentral
CGCAUCUGUGCAUGCAGCAUAUCAAUAAGCGGAGGAAAAGAAACUAACAAGGAUUCCCCUAGUAACGGCGAGUGAAGCGGGAAGAGCUCAAAUUUGAAAUCUUAAAGGGUUUCCCUUUACGAAUUGUAGUUUAAAGAAGUGUUUUCUGUUGAGGUUUUGGUAAAAGUUCUUUGGAAUAGGACAUCAUAGAGGGUGAGAAUCCCGUAUUUGACCUUUACUUUCAACUUUGUGAUACACUUUCAAAGAGUCGGAUUGUUUGGGAAUGCAGUCCAAAAUGGGUGGUAAAUUUCAUCUAAAGCUAAAUAGUUGGCGAGAGACCGAUAGCGAACAAGUACCGUGAGGGAAAGAUGAAAAGAACUUUGAAAAGAGAGUUGAAACAGUACGUGAAAUUGUCAAAAGGGAAGCGUUUGACACCAGUGUUGUUUUUCUGAAAAUCAAUUAAAGAACUGUUUAUGCUAAGUUGUUUAGACUUUAUCAGCUAACUGUUUAGUUUUGAGCUUUCUUUAAUGCACUUUUCAGUUAACAAGUCAACAUCAAUUUCUUUUGCUGUAAAAAAGCUUGAGGAAGGUGGCUUGAGAUUCGUCUUAAGUGUUUAUAGCCUCUUGCCUAUGCAGUCGGAGAGAUUGAGGUCUGCAGCGUAGAUCCUUCGGGGCUAAAUGCAUUUGUGCUAAGUUAUAACAUUUUAUAGGACAACUUGUUGACUAUGAUUUGUCUUGUAGCUUACUCGCUUAUGUUAUUUUACCUACGCUUAGGAUGUUGACAGCAGUAUAGACUGU